AUUUCCAUUGUUGCUGGAGUGUGCGUGAGUGUCUGAAAGAAAAUGUAAGAGACGAACCUUUGCAAAAGCAGACUCCUGCUAAGGAAAAAUAAGCUUUGCCACCCAGUUUUGGUCAUGGGGACUUGAGUUACUGUGACCUCAGAGGCCCCUAGGGGCCUGAUCAUUUUUUUUCUUUCUUUUUUCCUCCAUCUUUUCUUUUCUUUUCUUUCUUUCUUCCUUCCUUUUUCUUUGCUUGCUUUUUUUUUUUUCAAAUGAGUGAUUGAUUUUAAUGAGGAUUGCUAUAGGAUGCUAUAGGAUGCUAUAGGAAUGUCUAAUGUACAGUACAUUAGACAUUCAAGCCUCUGCAUAAGGUGUGGGAAACUGAGAGGGGAGAGAGAAUCAAGCAAAAACCCCCACUCUGUGCCUCUGCUGAGAAUCCAGGGCUGUAAUUGAGGCCGUUGCAAGGCUUUACAAGACGGAUUGUAGCUCAGGAUGUGAAAAGAUUGCCUCAUCAUCAUGCUCCAAUAUGGCUCAGAAAGGCACUGAGAAAACCUAGCCUUAGCUAGGCUAAGAGCCUAGCUUCUGGCCUGGCUUUUACGUGGUCAGCGGAUGUGCGUCCAUCCCCCUGCACUGGUUCCCCUUGUCCUUUCUGUGGCUCUCCUGGAUUCCUCUCGUUCAGCUCCUUGGUGUACAGAGCCUAUGUCAAUGGCAAUGGUGAGGGAAAUUGCCAGAGCCCUGCCCUCCAGGCCUGUCCUUAUUCAUGGGGAUCUGAGAAGAAGAGAUUAGGACCCAGACAUGCACAGAGGAGACCCUGUAAGGACACAAAGAGAAGACAGCCAUCUGCAAGCCAAGAAGAAAGGCCUUGGGGGAAACCAGCCCUGCCCACACCUUGGUCUGGACUUCCAGCUGAUUCUUGGAUGAGCUGGUCCUUAGGCACGGAGGCAGGACUGUGAGAAAAUAAAUUUCUGUUUUUAAUUCACCU
Homo sapiens (human) is the source of this 961-nucleotide long non-coding RNA. Ensembl annotates it as long intergenic non-protein coding RNA 2265. The record is from Ensembl. NCBI's taxonomy places the organism in Eukaryota, Metazoa, Chordata, Mammalia, Primates, Hominidae.